CCCUUAGAUGUUCUGGGCCGCACGCGCGCUACACUGAUGCAUUCAACGAGUUUCUUCCUGGUCCGAGAGGGAUGGGUAACCUUUUGAAAGUGCAUCGUGAUGGGGAUAGACUAUUGCAAUUAUUGGUCUUCAACGAGGAAUUCCUAGUAGACGUAGUUCAUCAGACUGCAUCGAUUACGUCCCUGCCCUUUGUACACACCGCCCGUCGCUCCUACCGAUUGAAUGCUCAGGUGAGCCAUUCGGACUUUCAUCAUGCUGGUUUCCAGUUUUGAUGAAGGAAAGUCUUGCGAACCUUAUCAUUUAGAGGAAGGAGAAGUCGUAACA
This 324-nucleotide ribosomal RNA is filed under the name uncultured eukaryote. Its description in RNAcentral is "partial 18S ribosomal RNA". It matches the Rfam family "Eukaryotic small subunit ribosomal RNA", at positions 1470 to 1796 of the family's 1831-position model. The record is from RNAcentral.